CAGUGGACUGUGGAUUGAAUGAACUGUAUCCAUCCCCAUCAUGAUGUACAACACCAGGUCUCUUCACUACACUUGUAUUGUGAUUAGCGGCCAAAAAAACAACAGUCAGAACUUCAGCUAAGAUACAGUAAGCUUUUGCUGUGACGUGGCACCUGGUCUCUUUCUAGAAGGAAAGUUCAACAAACAGCACAGUUCUGGACACAUUGUAUUGGUUUGAUG
Molecule: long non-coding RNA, 219 nt
Filed under: Piliocolobus tephrosceles (Ugandan red Colobus)
Lineage: Eukaryota; Metazoa; Chordata; Mammalia; Primates; Cercopithecidae
Description: lncRNA (ENSPTEG00000037641.1)
Source: RNAcentral